GGAGGUCUGGUCGGAUCCACAUCACAGGGCCCCAAAAUUUGGGGGCCCAAAAAUAAUUUAAACACUGCUGGGCUAAAACUUAAAAUAAAAUAAAAAAAACUUCCCUUUCCCAUACUUCUCCCUUCCCCGUAACUUCUUGAAACAAUGAAACAAGGAAACCAAAAAUAACUCUUCAAAUUCUCUCUCCUUCCCAUGGUGAUUUGACUGAUUUCAAAAAAUUAGUCAAUUACAACCUUCAUCAACUACUCAACGGUUCAAUCUUCGACCUACAUUCCUUUUCUCGUUCCUUUGAGGCUUUGAAUCUCACUUUCUCUCUCUUCCGUUCAAUGCUCUCUACCAGAAAAUUUGUCGAAGUUCGAUGGCAAGGCGGUGUAUUUCGAUGGAUUGGAACUCCGAGUAGAAACGAACAAGGUGGAAUUUGGUCAAUUAAGUAGGGUUUGUUGAAGAUUUGGGUUUAAUUUUAUUGAUUUGAUUGUUGUUCAUGUAUGUGGAAUUUGGUCAAUUAGGUAGGGUUUGUUGAAGAUUUGGGUUUAAUUUUAUUGAUUUGAUUGUUGUUCAUGUAUGUGGAAUUUGGUCAAUUAGGUAGGGUUUGUUGAAGAUUUGGGUUUAAUUUUAUUGAUUUGAUUGUUGUUCAUGUAUGUGGAAUUUGUUCAUUUUAAUUGAAAAUUGAAGCGUGUAGUAUGUAAAUUUUGAAUUAAUAUUGUUCAUCUUUAUUUUCCUA
Molecule: long non-coding RNA, 721 nt
Organism: Spinacia oleracea (spinach)
Lineage: Eukaryota; Viridiplantae; Streptophyta; Magnoliopsida; Caryophyllales; Amaranthaceae
Exons: 2
Source: RefSeq, a predicted model, not a curated record